This 537-nucleotide ribosomal RNA is filed under the name Ara macao (Scarlet macaw). Its description in RNAcentral is "partial 16S large subunit ribosomal RNA". The record is from RNAcentral. Lineage: Eukaryota; Metazoa; Chordata; Aves; Psittaciformes; Psittacidae.
CCUGCAAAACGAAUCUAAGUUCCCCCUUAACCCUCUUUUUCCUCCCCAGACAAACCCAACCCAAAUGUGAUAGUUAAGGGCUAUUUAAAGGGGGUACAGCCCCUUUAAAAAAGGACACAACCUCCACCAGCGGAUAACCCCUGUACGCCCAACCCCGUGGGCCUUAAAGCAGCCACCCCCAAAGAUUGCGUCAAAGCUCCAUCAACCAAAAACCCCCAAAACCAAUGUGACUCCCUACACCCACAGCAGGCCAACCUAUAACAAUAGAUGAGUCAAUGCUAGAACGAGUAACCAGGACACUACGUCCCCCUAAGCGCCAGCCUGUAUACCAUUAACAGUAAAACCUCAAUAAUAACCACCCCCACCAUUGAACCCACCCUGUCAACCCAACUCAGGGGCGCACACUGGAGUGAUCAAAAUCUACAAAAGGAACUCGGCAAACCUAAGACCCGACUGUUUACCAAAAACAUAGCCUUCAGCCAAACAAGUAUUGAAGGUGAUGCCUGCCCAGUGACACCAUGUUUAACGGCCGCGGUA